Molecule: unclassified non-coding RNA, 256 nt
Filed under: uncultured fungus
Lineage: Eukaryota; Fungi
Description: sequence contains ITS1
Source: RNAcentral
GUAUAAGUUUUAUAGGUCAAAAGACCCACAAGUUACAUUCUAGACUUUUUAUAGUAGAUGAGACGUAGACUGUGAAGUCGAAAGACAGCUAAACGCAAGUCCUUCAAUCCAACGGAGUAAACCAUUGAGAGUUAUCAGUCUACAAAAGUGCACAGGUGGUAAAGAUGAAUUUGAAGUGCGUGCACAUGCUUCGAAAAGCCAGCUACAACACCCCAUGAAUUCAGUAAUGAUCCUUCCGCAGGUUCACCUACGGAAA